Molecule: unclassified non-coding RNA, 2526 nt
Filed under: Hevea brasiliensis (rubber tree)
Lineage: Eukaryota; Viridiplantae; Streptophyta; Magnoliopsida; Malpighiales; Euphorbiaceae
Source: RNAcentral
AAAAAAAAAAAAAAAAAAGAAAUGCAGCUGCUCUCCCCCUCCUCUGCUGCUGCUGCUUCUCCUUCCGCCUCCUCGAAAGCAAAUUUCAGUCUCUUCACUUCCUCGCAAAACACUAACCAAAAAUGCAUUAAGUACCCCUCAAAAUUGUCCUUCAAAAUCCCCACCAGGAACCUUUCAAUCCCAUCUUCCUCCAAGCAAUCUUCUCCGGUUCUCGACCAAAGACCACUCUCCUCCGAAUCAUCGCCCAGAAACAGAGAAACUGAAGGCAAUAUCAAGUCGGAGAAAGACUCUUUGGAAGGACUUCUUGUGGCUCGCCGGCCGGUGGUUGAGGUUUCUGGUACUGAAGACUCCAGUCAAGGUAGUGAUAAUAAUGUUGAUGAUGGUGAGAAGAAAUCUUCAGCGAUCAUCGAUGCUGGUCUCGAGGAGUUUGCCAAGAAGAUGCCAAUUUUUGAACCGGAGAGAGUGCAGGUAGUUGGUUCUUCUCAAGACAAGCCUCUCACAGUGAAUUUGGAUUUGGCACUGUACAAGGCCAAGGUUUUAGCUAGGAAUUACAGAUAUCCAGAAGCUCAAGAGAUACUAGAAAAGUGUAUCAGUUAUUGGCCGGAAGAUGGGAGGCCAUAUGUGGCUUUGGGGAAGAUAUUGAACAAGCAAUCAAAAAUAGCAGAUGCUAGAGCUGUGUACGAGAAGGGCUGCCAGGCAACUCUUGGUGAAAAUGCCUACAUUUGGCAGUGCUGGGCUGUUUUGGAAAAUAAGAUGGGUAAUAUAAGGAGAGCAAGAGAACUGUUUGAUGCUGCCACAGUUGCUGACAAAAGACAUACAGCUGCUUGGCAUGGUUGGGCAGUUCUAGAGCUAAAACAGGGAAAUGUCAAGAAGGCAAGACAAUUACUUGCCAAAGGCCUUAAGUUUUCUGGUGGAAAUGAGUACAUAUACCAAACACUAGCAUUGUUGGAAGCUAAAGCAAAUCGAUAUGAGCAAGCCCGUUACUUGUUCAGGCAAGCCACUAAGUAUAACCCAAAAAGCUGUGCCAGUUGGCUUGCAUGGGCACAAUUGGAGAUGCAACAAGAAAACAACCUUGCUGCUAGGCAACUAUUUGAGAAAGCAGUGCAGGCUAGCCCCAAGAAUAGGUUUGCAUGGCACGUAUGGGGAGUUUUUGAAUAUAAUAUGGGCAAUAUUGAAGCGGCAAGAAAACUUUUGAAGAUAGGCCACUCACUCAAUCCAAGGGAUCCUGUUCUGCUUCAAUCUCUUGCUUUACUGGAAUAUAAACACUCUACUGCAAAUCUUGCACGGGUGUUAUUCAGGAGAGCAAGUGAAUUGGAUCCAAGGCAUCAACCAGUAUGGAUUGCCUGGGGAUGGAUGGAAUGGAAAGAAGGAAAUAUAUCCACCGCUAGAGAGUUAUACCAGAAAGCUCUUUCAAUUGACUCAAGUAGUGAAAGUGCUGCUAGAUGUCUACAGGCUUGGGGUGUUCUAGAGCAGAGAGUUUGUAACCUGUCAUUAGCUCGUAGACUAUUUAGAUCAUCAUUGAAUAUAAAUUCUCAAAGUUACAUAACUUGGAUGACCUGGGCUCAAUUGGAGGAGGAUCAAGGAAAUUCUGUGCGUGCUGAGGAGAUUCGUAACCUUUAUUUUCAGCAGGUCAGUAGCUGCCUUCUUGCCUGCAGCAACAUUGUUUUCCCCUCAAGUAUUUGCCCAUCUUCAAGCUGACCUUAUCUUUAUAUUAAAUAUUAUCCUCAGUUCCCUGUAACCUUGCAAAAGCAAAAAAAGUUCUCAAGCAGCCUUAAAUCAUGUUUACAUUUGCACAGCUUCUCAAAACAUGAACCAACUUUAAUUGCAAGUUUUAAUAAUUUCAAGAACUUCACAUCUUAAAGGUAAAUAUAUUUUCAUCGUGUUUCACAGCGGACUGAAGUUGUGGAGGAUGCUUCAUGGGUUAUUGGGUUUCUAGACAUCAUUGAUCCAGCACUUGACAGCAUAAAGAAACUCUUGAACUUGGAUCAGAACCUAUACAGUAAGACACAAGAAUCUUUGAAAAGUAUAUCAGGAGAAAGUGAAAAUGGUAGUGAUGGUGGUCCUUCUAGUGAUAAUGAUGCCAAUGCUAUAAGAAGUGGCUUUGAUUUGAAUUCUUUUAUUAAAGAAAGGUUGUCUCUAGAUCCAACGAAGUUGGAUAUUCAGCUAGAAACAUCUGGGACUCCUGCACCAUGGAGAGUGUCCCAAAGAAGAAUAUGGAGAUCAAAGAAAGAAACUACGACAAAAGUGUCAGAUGCCGGGAUUUGACAAGUUAAAUUGUGAGAGUGGCUGUGGAGUGGAAUGCAAGCUGCAGCUACUUGAGGCCAAGUUAAUUUUUCUGAACUUUACUCAUUGACAUCAACAACUACUAUAUGAGGAUGUGCAGACAAUCUAUAAAGUUGUUUAUCCCCAAAGAAUAUGAGAAAAUUGGGUAUUUCUGUAUCAACUCAUUUACAUUGUAGACUCUAUUAUUACCUGUUGUAGUUGCAAUACUUCCAGAUUCUGUUAAAUAAAAAUUUUUAUUCUCAC